GGGCCCGUAGUCUAGCCUGGAUAGUGCGUCAAGCACCCGGAGAGGACACAAGCCUGCGGAGCUUGCGGCCCGGGUUCAAAUCCCGGCGGGCCCGCCA
Molecule: transfer RNA, 97 nt
Filed under: Nitrospirota bacterium
Lineage: Bacteria; Pseudomonadati; Nitrospirota
Description: tRNA-Arg
Rfam family: tRNA
About the family: Transfer RNA (tRNA) molecules are approximately 80 nucleotides in length. Their secondary structure includes four short double-helical elements and three loops (D, anti-codon, and T loops).
Source: RNAcentral